UUUCUUUUUUUAAUUUUUUAAUUUUUUUUACAGAAAAAAAAAAUUAAAAAAAAAGUGGCAAUAU
Molecule: non-coding RNA, 64 nt
Filed under: Rhodomonas abbreviata
Lineage: Eukaryota; Cryptophyceae; Pyrenomonadales; Pyrenomonadaceae
Source: RNAcentral